GACGAACGCUGGCGGCGUGCCUAAUACAUGCAAGUCGAGCGAAGUUUUUCUGGUGCUUGCACUAGAAAAACUUAGCGGCGAACGGGUGAGUAACACGUAAAGAACCUGCCUCAUAGACUGGGACAACUAUUGGAAACGAUAGCUAAUACCGGAUAACAGCAUUAACUGCAUGGUUGAUGUUUAAAAGUUGGUUUUGCUAACACUAUGAGAUGGCUUUGCGGUGCAUUAGCUAGUUGGUGGGGUAAAGGCCUACCAAGGCGACGAUGCAUAGCCGACCUGAGAGGGUGAUCGGCCACACUGGGACUGAGACACGGCCCAGACUCCUACGGGAGGCAGCAGUAGGGAAUCUUCCGCAAUGGGCGAAAGCCUGACGGAGCAACGCCGCGUGAGUGAAGAAGGAUUUCGGUUCGUAAAGCUCUGUUGUUAGGGAAGAAUGAUUGUGUAGUAACUAUACACAGUAGAGACGGUACCUAACCAGAAAGCCACGGCUAACUACGUGCCAGCAGCCGCGGUAAUACGUAGGGCGCAAGCGUUGUCCGGAAUUAUUGGGCGUAAAGAGCUCGUAGGCGGCUGGUCGCGUCUGUCGUGAAAACUUCCGGCUCAACCGGGGGCUUGCGGUGGGUACGGGCCGGCUAGAGUGCGGUAGGGGUAACUGGAACUCCUGGUGUAGCGGUGGAAUGCGCAGAUAUCAGGAAGAACACCGAUGGCGAAGGCAGGUUACUGGGCCGUUACUGACGCUGAGGAGCGAAAGCGUGGGGAGCGAACAGG
This 768-nucleotide ribosomal RNA is filed under the name uncultured bacterium. RNAcentral's name for it is "bacterial SSU rRNA". It matches the Rfam family "Bacterial small subunit ribosomal RNA", at positions 28 to 776 of the family's 1533-position model. The record is from RNAcentral.